Molecule: ribosomal RNA, 833 nt
Filed under: uncultured bacterium
Lineage: Bacteria
Description: bacterial SSU rRNA
Rfam family: Bacterial small subunit ribosomal RNA
Source: RNAcentral
CUCCUACGGGAGGCAGCAGUCGAGAAUUUUUGACAAUGGGGGCAACCCUGAUCGAGCGACGCCGCGUGGAGGAUGAAGGUCUUCGGGUUGUAAACUCCUGUCAUUUGGGAACAAGCGCCGGUAAGUAACUACUACCGGCUUGAUAGUACCAGAAGAGGAAGGGACGGCUAACUCUGUGCCAGCAGCCGCGGUAAUACAGAGGUCCCAAGCGUUGUUCGGAUUCAUUGGGCGUAAAGGGUGUGUAGGUGGCGCCGUAAGUCGGGUGUGAAAUUUCGAGGCUUAACCUCGAAACUGCAUUCGAUACUGCGGUGCUUGAGGACUGGAGAGGAGACUGGAAUUCAUGGUGUAGCAGUGAAAUGCGUAGAGAUCAUGAGGAAGACCAGUGGCGAAGGCGGGUCUCUGGACAGUUCCUGACACUGAGACACGAAGGCCAGGGGAGCAAACGGGAUUAGAUACCCCGGUAGUCCUGGCAGUAAACUGUGCACGUUUGGUGUGGGGGGAUUCGACCCCUUCUGCGCCGGAGCUAACGCGUUAAACGUGCCGCCUGGGGAGUACGGUCGCAAGAUUAAAACUCAAAGAAAUUGACGGGGGCCCGCACAAGCGGUGGAGUAUGUGGCUUAAUUCGAUGCAACGCGAAGAACCUUACCUGGCCUUGACAUGCAUCUCUAAGUUGGUGAAAGCCAGCGAGUCUCGAAAGAGACAAUUUGCACAGGUGCUGCAUGGCUGUCGUCAGCUCGUGUCGUGAGAUGUUGGGUUAAGUCCCGCAACGAGCGCAACCCUUGUGAACUGUUGCCACCGACCCGCGAGGGUCGAGCACUCUGUUCAGACUGCCC